UUUUCUAUAAAAAAUUCAACCUAUUCCGAUUCUUUUUCAUCGUUAAACUAGUAAAUAUCUCAUACUGGCCAUUAAAAAUUAUCAAUUUUGUGAGCUUUUGAUCAUAAGGUAAAUGAUAUCGAAAAAUUAUAAAAUUUGAUUUCUAAAAGUUUUAAAUGCUCUAAAUAAUGCUUAACGGUGUGGAUCAUUGAUUUGGAAGCUCUAUCAUCAAAAACAAUUUAUGAGUACGAGGGCGAUCGCACUCAUAAAAGUAUAGUAGCCGGACUCUUGUCUGGCUGGGAUACUAUCGAUAGCACCAAGCAUUUGGUGUUACCGAGUUUUCCGCAGUUGGAUUUAACCCUUUGACUAUUUUUAUCUAUUAGAUUAUACUAUUCAAUCAACAAAUCACUCAACCUUAGAGGGCCCACAUCGUCCUGACCGUACAUUUCUUCAUCCAAGGGCCGAAACCUAAUAACACUAACAACUUGGUGCUAUUGAUAGCAUUCCAGUCUAGUUAUAUAUAACGGGUGAAAAGAGUCAAAUGGUGUCACACCCCAAUAAUCCUAUAUCGGAUAGGAAUGCAGAUAUGAUUGGGUAUAAAAGAGACUUAGACGCUAGUAAUAAUAACUGUAUUUAAGCAUUUUGGGCCGUUGUUUGGGCUCAACGAAUUAUUGUCGCUAGUGGGCUGGGUCGUUAUAUUUGGUAUCAGAGUCAGUUCACCAACCGAAAAUGUAUGGCGAGUCUCGGCUGAGCAAAGUUCUAAAAGACAAGAUGAUAGACUAUACCGGAGUCUGAAUGAUAAGGUGACCGGCUAUACCAGAGUUUGGAUGACAAGGCUAGCGAGACGAGUCUCACAUCGCUGGUAAUUUUGGGCAUCACGGGUAAUCUUGAGCAGUGUGUGUGAUUGAACUGACGAGGACGUCAGAGCAUAAUAACUAAAUCCAACGGCGAAAAACUCGAUAACACUAAAUGCUCGCUGUUAUGACAGUAUCACAGCCGGACUCUCUCUCUCUCUCUCUCUCUCUCGCUCUCUCCUGUUAUCCUGUGCGGCGUUACCUUCUUCCUUUC
This 1047-nucleotide long non-coding RNA is filed under the name Ananas comosus (pineapple). RNAcentral's name for it is "long non-coding RNA (ACOM_LNC003263)". The record is from RNAcentral. Lineage: Eukaryota; Viridiplantae; Streptophyta; Magnoliopsida; Poales; Bromeliaceae.